GCCGAAGUGGCGGAAUUGGUAGACGCGCAUGGUUCAGGGUCAUGUAGGCUCAGCCUGUGGGAGUUCGACUCUCCCCUUCGGCACCA
RNAcentral lists this transfer RNA (86 nucleotides) under Desulfobulbus propionicus. RNAcentral describes it as "tRNA-Leu". It matches the Rfam family "tRNA". Rfam says of the family: Transfer RNA (tRNA) molecules are approximately 80 nucleotides in length. Their secondary structure includes four short double-helical elements and three loops (D, anti-codon, and T loops). Further hydrogen bonds mediate the characteristic L-shaped molecular structure. tRNAs have two regions of fundamental functional importance: the anti-codon, which is responsible for specific mRNA codon recognition, and the 3' end, to which the tRNAs corresponding amino acid is attached (by aminoacyl-tRNA synthetases). tRNAs cope with the degeneracy of the genetic code in two manners: having more than one tRNA (with a specific anti-codon) for a particular amino acid; and 'wobble' base-pairing, i.e. permitting non-standard base-pairing at the 3rd anti-codon position. The record is from RNAcentral. Lineage: Bacteria; Pseudomonadati; Thermodesulfobacteriota; Desulfobulbia; Desulfobulbales; Desulfobulbaceae.